GUGAGGAAUAUUGCGCAAUGGGGGAAACCCUGACGCAGCGACGCCGCGUGAGUGACGAAGGCUUUCGGGUCGUAAAGCUCUGUCAGCAGGGAAGAAAUGCCAUAUGGUAAAUAAUCAUAUGGUUUGACGGUACCUGCAAAGGAAGCACCGGCUAACUCCGUGCCAGCAGCCGCGGUAAUACGGAGGGUGCAAGCGUUAAUCGGAUUUACUGGGCGUAAAGGGCGCGUAGGCGGCUGAUCAAGUCAGAUGUGAAAUCCCACGGCUUAACCGUGGAAGUGCAUCUGAAACUGGUCGGCUUGAGUACUGGAGGGGAAAGUGGAAUUCCCGGUGUAGAGGUGAAAUUCGUAGAGAUCGGGAGGAAUACCGGUGGCGAAGGCGACUUUCUGGACAGAUACUGACGCUGAGGCGCGAAAGCGUGGGGAGCAAACAGGAUUAGAAACCCGUGUAGUCC
Molecule: ribosomal RNA, 451 nt
Filed under: uncultured bacterium
Lineage: Bacteria
Description: bacterial SSU rRNA
Rfam family: Bacterial small subunit ribosomal RNA
Source: RNAcentral